Megalobrama amblycephala (Wuchang bream) is the source of this 1415-nucleotide long non-coding RNA. RefSeq lists it as uncharacterized. The transcript has 5 exons. Lineage: Eukaryota; Metazoa; Chordata; Actinopteri; Cypriniformes; Xenocyprididae. The record is from RefSeq and is a predicted model, not a curated record.
CCGAAAAGUCGUCGUACACUGAGUCAUUUUGUUUUGUGUUAUCGUCGGCGAUUUAUGCUUUUAAUUUAUUUAUUGGUUGUCAAUGAUAUAUGGUUUUAUAUCGUACUAUUAAGUAGGUGCAGCGCUAGAGAGUGCUUCAAUAAGGCCAGAAUGGGAUUUUUUGGCUUGUUUUAUCGUCUGCCAGUUGAUACUAUUACUUAGUAAAGUACUACUCUCCUUAACAAGAAGCAUGAAUUGAGGAGCCAUUCAUGUCUGAAGCACAAACACUUCAGGACAAGUUGCAUGCAGAAGUUACCUUCAGAAACAAAUUCUCGCCUGAGAGCAGAGAGAGGCCUGGAUUCGUCCCUGGCUCUCGAAGCCUUUCACUGGAGCAAAUCCUCCUCAGGAUGUACAAGUGAUUAUGGGUAAUUACGUGUGGAGAAUGGACACUCAAGGAGAGCCGAGUGUUUAGAGCCUGUCAGUCAAAAUGCAUCACAGGAAACAGAGAAGAAACGAAAACAAGGGCUUUCAUGAAGCUACAUACAUUCACACUGUUGUGAAGAGCGCUCUUAAAACCUCCUUGAUGCCUGUGUGAGGAAGAAGAAAAGAAGUACAGAGCCUUGGGAUCCUUGCUGCUUCAAGGCUUGUUUGUCUUCCCCCAGUCUGUGUGCUUGUCAGAAGUUGUGGCAGAACCAUCACAGAUGAGUGCGAGGGAGAAACCGUGGCCACGUCCUCCAGAGAAGAGCAAAUAUUUCUGUAGGUGGUUGCAGAAAAUAUUGGACUAGUGGAAAGAGGGCAAGAUAAGGAAAGCACUGACAGGAGAUCUAUUCACUUUCUAGGCUCUAAAGGGUUGCAGGUAAACAGAGUGUCAAUCAUCAGGAUUAGUUCACACAGAAAUGCGCCGCUACUCUUUGUUGCACGCUUGGGGGGAACUUUGCAGCGAUGUCAUCCACUGUGUCUGUGCCAGAUUUCAAAAGCUGCAAUAUCAUGAUUGGGAAUGUAAACAAUUUAUUCACCCUGUAAAUGUGUGCAAAAAAAAAAAAGAAGCACACUAAAUAUGCUUGUCUCAUAAUUACAGAAUUAAUUCAGCCAAAAACUAAAAAUCUGUCAUUGUUUAUUCACCCUCACGUGAUUUCAAAACCUUUUUUUUCAUUUUUUCAUUUAACAAAUUUUUAAGACUGUUCAUCUCUACAGUAAGUUAAGUUUCUUUUUGUCUUCCAUAGAACUGCUGUUUAUGGGUUUGGGAUGUGAUUAAUCAGUGGUCAAUCUAAUUUAGCAAUUCUUGUUUAAUCAAUUUCAGUUAGUGUAAUUAUAAUCAACUAAAACCAUUAAAAAAAUGUUACCUGAAAUAAAGUAUUAAAUCUUGAACGUUAUUUUUUUCAGUUAGCUGACAAGUAAAUGUCUCUUUGUUAUUUAGUUUAACUUGAUGUACUAAA